RNAcentral lists this ribosomal RNA (468 nucleotides) under uncultured bacterium. RNAcentral's name for it is "partial 16S ribosomal RNA". It matches the Rfam family "Bacterial small subunit ribosomal RNA", at positions 28 to 507 of the family's 1533-position model. The record is from RNAcentral.
GACGAACGCUGGCGGCGUGCUUAACACAUGCAAGUCGAACGGAAAGGCCCUGCUUUGGUGGGGUGCUCGGGUGGCGAACGGGUGAGUAACACGUGAGUAACCUGCCCUUGACGUUGGGAUAACUUCAGGAAACUGGUGCUAAUACCGGGUAGGAGCUCCUGCUGCAUGGUGGGGGUUGGAAAGUUUCGGCGGUUGGGGAUGGACUCGCGGCUUAUCAGCUUGUUGGUGGGGUAGUGGCUUACCAAGGCUUUGACGGGUAGCCGGCCUGAGAGGGUGACCGGACACAUUGGAACUGAGAUAAGGCACAGACUAAUAUGGGAGGCAGGAGUGGGGAAUAUUGCACAAUGGGAGGAAGCCUGAUGCAGCAACGCCGCGUGGGGGAUGAGGGGAAUCGGGUUGUAAAGCGAUUUCGCCUGUGACGAAGCGUGAGUGACGGUACCGGGUAAAGAAGCCCCGGCUAACUACGUG